Molecule: non-coding RNA, 3088 nt
Organism: Lupinus albus (white lupine)
Lineage: Eukaryota; Viridiplantae; Streptophyta; Magnoliopsida; Fabales; Fabaceae
Source: the annotation of a GenBank genome assembly
CGGGACGGGAGUGGGCCCUACGCGCAGGCAACAGCAGCACCGGCUCUACGAAGUCAGAAUCGAAUCUUUGUGUUGGCUUUCCCAAUUCGUGAAUCAGAAUUCAAGGGCUAGAAGCGAGCGCUUCUAGCUGCUUCGCCUGCUUCUUAUUAUUGUGGCUAUGUUGGCGUGGCGGAAAUGAACGAAAAGCGAGAUGAACGUGCUAUUUUCAAAUCGAUUGAUAGAUAGCCUGAUCCGUUCUGAUAGAUAGAUCGAAAGAGUAGGAAUGAUAUAGGGGGAAUCCAUAAAAAAAGAAAAAGGGGAAAUCUCCUAUUUAUAUCUAUUGAUAAGACAACUAUUCUUGAUCCAUCAGAACGAAAUCGAUAUGUAUCUGAUGGAGUCUACAUCGUACGUAGAGCGCCCAAGCUUUAGGCCAGCUCAGUUAUCUUAUCCAUCGGGUCCAAUGCACUGGGCUCAUAUCAUGGAUGGAGGGAACAAAAUGUAGUUAGUUGUGUUGUUGUUGUUCGCCGCCUCGACGCAUUCCCUUCUCUCCCCGGCAUCGUCCCACACAGAAAGAAAGAGCGCAGAGCCCCGGCCCGACCUUUAGUGUAGGUCCGCCAACGUAAAGCGAGGAGUUGAGCCUGAACUGGCGAACCGAAGUCACUUUCGGAACCAUACUUCCUACAGCUAACACGUGUCCAGUCCAGCGGGAACGCGCAGCGCAAAAUAACGUAAGCUGCUCGAAUCCCCCGCUGGCCAUCGGGGACCGAGUGGUAAGGCCAUGAUCCGCAGGGGAACGGAUCACUCAUUCUUCCAUUGGGGACAGGUGCACGAACGACAACUCCAAACGUCACACAUCCGUCGCCUACUUACCGUUUAGGUGGCACCAGCGAGAUCCAGCUAAGGUAAGGAACUUCGUGUCGCGGCUGCUCCACUCCGCCGCGGUCUCAUGAACUUAACUUCGUUGCCUUCCCGCGCGCGAAGCGAAUGGGCGCUGUGCUGUGGGUCAGUUUCGGGGCAUUCAUUUUGAUCGACGAGCUUUUUCAGCCCCAAAACUAAGAAUCAAUGGAAUGUCUGUCUAUCCAUGAACAUCUAUUCUAUCUGUAUAUCUAGGGGAUCUCUCUAAAAAUAUAAAAGAGUUUUAUGGCACGAUAUGAUCGCCUAGCCGUAGCCGCAUAUUGAGCGCAGCGGAUAUGCGGGAUUUCAGUUGGAUCAGAUCUUUCGCUUUGACGGAAGCUUUUGGACCUAGCGAAAAGGACUUUAUUUUAUAAGCCUUCGCGCAAGCAACGCGAGAGAAGCAAGCAAAGUAGAAGCUUUGCCAGAAGCAAGACGAGGAAGCAGAGCUGUCGUAUAAGCGGUAGCUUCCCCCGACCUACUAAACAAAAAGACAACAGUCGCGACCUACUUUGUUUGAUUCAAAACAAAAGAAAGGCGAAGGGUUUGGCAACAAGCAAACGGCUUUCUAUCAUAGUCUUUAGGGUUCCAAACCUUAACUACUUAACUUAAGUACGGCAGCUUUCGGUUGGUAAAUAAGGGGGCUGUUCACUACAAGCUAUCAGCGCUGUCUUAGAUUGAACGUCGACUUAUCUUUAUCUUAUUGCCGUUCAAUCUCUAAGGCGGGUUGACGCUGAGAACGGAAGAGUGUUCGUGUCCAAAGGUGAACAACGCCCUAGCUUCUAGAGUUCGCUGCUUUUCCCAGGCCGGAGAAGGGCUUAUACUGCUCGCCUUUGUUUGAUAUGUUCAUUCAGUACCAAUACAAAGAAAAACUACACCAAAGUGGAAAGGCCCCUAUAGAAGCUAGAAGUAACCUCUAGUAGUCUAGUAGUCGGCCUAACCAAAACGUCACGACAACAGAAAAUUACCCUUAUGAAUUAAAUCUUAAGUAGGGGGCUUAGCCCGCCCGCCUACCAAUCAAAGAGGCUGAGAGUUAGCGUAAGCUCGAAGAGCUUACCUUCAUUCGCUUCGCGGGAGCCGCACAAGACAUAGCUGGAAGUCAGAGGGCCCAUACUACCUGCCUAACCCCUCGCUCCGAGGGACCUUCGAUCGGACGUUAUAAACCACCCCAUUCAUCUAAAAGAGAGGGGAAGGGGCCUAUGUAUUUGCAUGACUCCUGCGGAUUUUACCCUAUCUACACCCGGAGCCAAUCUCCUAUCGGUCCUGCCACCACGCCGCAGAACGGGAGCUCGUGUGGAACCUUUUAUUUCUGGCGUAACAGCGGUGGAACGUAAAAAAAGAUUACGGUCGCGUAACAUAAGGGCCGGAGGUACGGUAAACUCGGCAAAAAGAUGACACCCGAAGGGAGGGCCCGGCGCGCACAAUCCUAUCCUCGUCCGAGUUUACCCCUUGCACUUCGGACAGCCGUCCGUAGCAUCAUAAGGAGGACCUCCCUUUCGGGGUAAAGUAAAAAAAGGGUACGGUACAUAGGAGGCUGGUCUUUCUCAACGUGGUGUAUAGCACGAAAAACCUUUCGAUAAAAGAUAGGGCCGUUCACAUGAAAGAAGAUAAUCAACCCUUUCUUCUCUUCUUUCUCUUUCUCGAGGGGUAAAGAGAAAGAGGGUCUUUUGGAGGGAGGGGGAACAUUCGGGCGCUUUUUUUUAAAUCCUCCACUGCAUCCAGGAUCACAAGUGGAACGCUAAGCAGGGGGGAGGGGAAUUGGGCUGGGCCUACCUAUCCCGAUAGGACCUCAUAAAGGAACGGGAGCUGUUGAGAGGUUCCAUAUUGCCGAGCCGAAGGGCAGCACUUCUGUACGUGAUCGUCUCACGUCGUCUCGUCCCCGCUGCAUUGAAAAGUACCUAUGCACUCUUUCCGGUUCACUGAUAAGGAAGAUAGAGUUGGGGUGGGGGUCUACGAUGUGAUACUCAAGUAUGACCCGGGAAGAUACAUGCUAACUAUGGGUAGGGGUAGAAAGCUUUUACCUUUUUGUAAAUAAAUUAGGGGGGUUACAGAUCAGAUCUCUUAUACUACCAUCGAUCGACAGAGCGGAACGACCAGAAAAAAAAAAGUGAAGUUAGAAAGCCGUAUGAUAGGCGGUCACUAUCUUGUACGGUUCGGGGGGUAAUCGGCGUACUCCGAUCAGUGGGGGGGAAUCUUUGGCUCUAUCGAACAUACAGGG